This 1117-nucleotide long non-coding RNA is filed under the name Zonotrichia albicollis (white-throated sparrow). RNAcentral describes it as "lncRNA (ENSZALG00000004829.1)". The record is from RNAcentral. Lineage: Eukaryota; Metazoa; Chordata; Aves; Passeriformes; Passerellidae.
AUGAACAUUACACUGUUAUUGGGCUUUUCCAACAGGUACCUAAGCAACCAAUACUUUGAGGAAAAGGAUUGCAAAAGAACUAUACUUGAGAAACUGCAUAGCAAAGGAAACACUAAGGGCCAUAAAAACAGCUUCCAAAAUUCCCACAAAAACAUUCAUUUUCAAUUGAUUCUGCAUGAACAUGAUUGUUACUUCAUGAAACUUAAUACCCAUAUGUUCAACACAAUUAGUUGUUCCAAGGCAGGCAAUUCAGUAAUAAACAGCACCAUCCUUUAAAUCAAAACACAAAACAAGGAUGGAACACAAAUUCUGCAUUAUUAUUAGUUUCUUGUUUGAGAAAAUUUCAUUUCAGCAAAGGGAGAACAUUAAAGAACAGCGUGUACUUACGAAGGUAAGUACUUAGAUCUGCUACUCCUGAGCUUCCCUCAGAGAGAAGGGAGAGAAUGAUUUCAGGAGGAGGGGCAGAUGAGAUCCCAGCACACACAGACUGGUAAUGCAAUAGAUGAACUUCAAGGAGCUUGGCAUACAUUUCACUUGACACUGUUUUUUCCUGUACUAUACUUUAAUAAUAUUAAGGAAAAAAACCUAAACUUCAAUGCUGUUAAAAAAGCUAGGAACUUAAUUAUUUUCUAAUCAUUCUAGCAAGUCCAUCUGGCAGCUUCACAACUGCAACGCUUGAAAUCCAAGAGUUUUCCCUUUGCCAGCAAAAGGUGUUCUUAUGGCUAUUGCUGUGUUUGAAAAAUCUACUUGGAAAUUCCAAGUCUCAUUAAAUCACUGACUAAUUUGACAUGAUGGCAAGUAUUCAUAAUGAAUCAGGGACAAAUAAUUUCUCUGAUCACUUUAUGAAAUGUGCACACUCAGAAGUUACCCUAAAAAAAACCCACUCAACCGUUAUGUAAUUAAUAUAAAUAUUGUGUGUUUUACAUAUCCUGCAUUCAGGGAACUACUUUCUCUUUUCUUCCUCAUGUGGCUUUAGCCUGGGCAAUUACUGUGUCUCCUUCAAGCAAGAGAAAUUUAUUUCAAAACACUGAUUCAGAACCCAGUGCUGUUGAAAAGCUGCAUCCUUCCUUCUUCUGUACAGAAUAAAAACAACAGAAGAAUGAUACGAAUGAUAAGA